GAUUUCUGGUACGAUUUGCUUGGCCCGUCCUCGUCAGAGGCACGUGUGCCGACGUGAAUCUGCCAUCUUUCUAGAGAGCGGCACUGCCCUUAACUGGUGUCGGUGUUUGCUUCCUAGAUCUUUUACUUUGAAAAAAUUAGAGUGUUUAAAGCAGGCUUGCGCUAUGAAUACAUUAGCAUGGAAUAAUAAUUUAGGACUUUGUUUCUAUUUUGUUGGUUUCUAGAGGCGAAGUAAUGAUUGAUAGGGAUAGUUGGGGGUGCUAGUAUUCAGCGGCCAGAGGUGAAAUUCUUGGAUUCGCUGAAGACUAACUUAUGCGAAAGCAUU
This 324-nucleotide ribosomal RNA is filed under the name uncultured Glissomonadida. RNAcentral describes it as "bacterial SSU rRNA". The stretch from base 58 to 324 matches the Rfam family "Eukaryotic small subunit ribosomal RNA", at positions 687 to 955 of the family's 1831-position model. The record is from RNAcentral. Lineage: Eukaryota; Cercozoa; Glissomonadida.